CAGAAAAUAACUUUUUUAAUAUUAAAAAUUAAAAUUUUUUUAAUUUGUGCAGAAACAAUUAUAACAAUUAAGGACAAGAAGACCCUAAGAAUUUAUAAAUUUAAUUAAUAUUUUUUUAUGCUAAUUAAAUUUUAACUGGGGCGGUUAAGAAAUAUUAAAAACUUUUUGAAAUAAUAUGACCCAUUAAUAAUGACUAUAUGAAAAAAUACUCUAGGGAUAACAGCGUUAUAUUUUUUGAUAGAUCAUAUUGACAAAA
Molecule: ribosomal RNA, 256 nt
Filed under: Rhipicephalus decoloratus
Lineage: Eukaryota; Metazoa; Arthropoda; Arachnida; Ixodida; Ixodidae
Description: partial large subunit ribosomal RNA
Source: RNAcentral